This 253-nucleotide ribosomal RNA is filed under the name uncultured bacterium. RNAcentral's name for it is "partial 16S ribosomal RNA". It matches the Rfam family "Bacterial small subunit ribosomal RNA", at positions 524 to 776 of the family's 1533-position model. The record is from RNAcentral.
UACGUAGGGGGCAAGCGUUGUCCGGAGUUACUGGGCGUAAAGCGUGCGCAGGCGGUGAUGUAAGACAGGUGUGAAAUCCCCGGGCUUAACCUGGGAACUGCAUUUGUGACUGCAUCGCUGGAGUGUGGCAGAGGGGGGUGGAAUUCCGCGUGUAGCAGUGAAAUGCGUAGAGAUGCGGAGGAACACCGAUGGCGAAGGCAGCCCCCUGGGCUAACACUGACGCUCAGGCACGAAAGCGUGGGGAGCAAACAGG